RNAcentral lists this ribosomal RNA (446 nucleotides) under uncultured bacterium. Its description in RNAcentral is "bacterial SSU rRNA". It matches the Rfam family "Bacterial small subunit ribosomal RNA", at positions 330 to 797 of the family's 1533-position model. The record is from RNAcentral.
GCCAGACUCCUACGGGAGGCAGCAGUGGGGAAUAUUGCGCAAUGGGGGAAACCCUGACGUAGCAACGCCGCGUGCGGGAUGAAGGCUUUCGGGUUGUAAACCGCUUUCAGCAGGGAAGAUAAUGACGGUACCUGCAGAAGAAGCCCCGGCUAACUACGUGCCAGCAGCCGCGGUAAUACGUAGGGGGCAAGCGUUAUCCGGAUUCAUUGGGCGUAAAGGGUGCGUAGGCGGCCUUUUAAGCGUGGGGUCUAAGGCGGUGGCCCAACCACCGUUCGCCCCGCGAACUGGAGGGCUAGAGUGUCGGAGAGGGAAGCGGAAUUCCUAGUGUAGCGGUGAAAUGCGUAGAUAUUAGGAGGAACACCAGUGGCGAAGGCGGCUUCCUGGACGAAGACUGACGCUGAGGCACGAACGCGUGGGGAGCGAACAGGAUUAGAUACCCCAGUACA